This 804-nucleotide ribosomal RNA is filed under the name Alteromonas macleodii. RNAcentral's name for it is "bacterial SSU rRNA". It matches the Rfam family "Bacterial small subunit ribosomal RNA", at positions 55 to 855 of the family's 1533-position model. Lineage: Bacteria; Pseudomonadati; Pseudomonadota; Gammaproteobacteria; Alteromonadales; Alteromonadaceae. The record is from RNAcentral.
GUGAAAGAUCAAACGGUAACAGGAUUAGCUUGCUAAUCGCUGACGAGUGGCGGACGGGUGAGUAAUGCUUGGGAACUUGCCUUUGCGAGGGGGAUAACAGUUGGAAACGACUGCUAAUACCGCAUAAUGUCUACGGACCAAACGGGGCUUCGGCUCCGGCGCAAAGAGAGGCCCAAGUGAGAUUAGCUAGUUGGUAAGGUAACGGCUUACCAAGGCGACGAUCUCUAGCUGUUCUGAGAGGAAGAUCAGCCACACUGGGACUGAGACACGGCCCAGACUCCUACGGGAGGCAGCAGUGGGGAAUAUUGCACAAUGGGGGAAACCCUGAUGCAGCCAUGCCGCGUGUGUGAAGAAGGCCUUCGGGUUGUAAAGCACUUUCAGUUGUGAGGAAAAGUUAGUAGUUAAUACCUGCUAGCCGUGACGUUAACAACAGAAGAAGCACCGGCUAACUCCGUGCCAGCAGCCGCGGUAAUACGGAGGGUGCGAGCGUUAAUCGGAAUUACUGGGCGUAAAGCGCACGCAGGCGGUUUGUUAAGCUAGAUGUGAAAGCCCCGGGCUCAACCUGGGAUGGUCAUUUAGAACUGGCAGACUAGAGUCUUGGAGAGGGGAGUGGAAUUCCAGGUGUAGCGGUGAAAUGCGUAGAUAUCUGGAGGAACAUCAGUGGCGAAGGCGACUCCCUGGCCAAAGACUGACGCUCAUGUGCGAAAGUGUGGGUAGCGAACAGGAUUAGAUACCCUGGUAGUCCACACCGUAAACGCUGUCUACUAGCUGUGUGUGUCUUUAAAACGUGCGUAGCGAAGCUAA